AUACGGUUGUUGGAUGAAUAAUAUUUUGCCACUAUGUAGCUCAGACACCGUGCGGACCAUGCCAACAGUGGCCCAAGCUUCCUGUCCUCGCUGCCCUCAAGUCCACUUUGAAUUCUUCUCCCUGGUGAGUUUAUGUGAAAUUCCUCUCCUAGCCUGUCCCUGCCCUGGCAUGUGACCGGC
Molecule: long non-coding RNA, 180 nt
Filed under: Numida meleagris (helmeted guineafowl)
Lineage: Eukaryota; Metazoa; Chordata; Aves; Galliformes; Numididae
Description: lncRNA (ENSNMEG00000021647.1)
Source: RNAcentral